Molecule: ribosomal RNA, 1429 nt
Filed under: uncultured organism
Description: 16S ribosomal RNA
Rfam family: Bacterial small subunit ribosomal RNA
Source: RNAcentral
CGUGCUUAACACAUGCAAGUCGAACGGAAAGGCCCUGCUUUUGUGGGGUGCUCGAGUGGCGAACGGGUGAGUAACACGUGAGUAACCUGCCCUUGACUUUGGGAUAACUUCAGGAAACUGGGGCUAAUACCGGAUAGGAGCUCCUGCUGCAUGGUGGGGGUUGGAAAGUUUCGGCGGUUGGGGAUGGACUCGCGGCUUAUCAGCUUGUUGGUGGGGUAGUGGCUUACCAAGGCUUUGACGGGUAGCCGGCCUGAGAGGGUGACCGGCCACAUUGGGACUGAGAUACGGCCCAGACUCCUACGGGAGGCAGCAGUGGGGAAUAUUGCACAAUGGGCGGAAGCCUGAUGCAGCAACGCCGCGUGCGGGAUGACGGCCUUCGGGUUGUAAACCGCUUUCGCCUGUGACGAAGCGUGAGUGACGGUAAUGGGUAAAGAAGCACCGGCUAACUACGUGCCAGCAGCCGCGGUGAUACGUAGGGUGCGAGCGUUGUCCGGAUUUAUUGGGCGUAAAGGGCUCGUAGGUGGUUGAUCGCGUCGGAAGUGUAAUCUUGGGGCUUAACCCUGAGCGUGCUUUCGAUACGGGUUGACUUGAGGAAGGUAGGGGAGAAUGGAAUUCCUGGUGGAGCGGUGGAAUGCGCAGAUAUCAGGAGGAACACCAGUGGCGAAGGCGGUUCUCUGGGCCUUUCCUGACGCUGAGGAGCGAAAGCGUGGGGAGCGAACAGGCUUAGAUACCCUGGUAGUCCACGCUGUAAACGGUGGGUACUAGGUGUGGGGUCCAUUCCACGGGUUCCGUGCCGUAGCUAACGCUUUAAGUACCCCGCCUGGGGAGUACGGCCGCAAGGCUAAAACUCAAAGGAAUUGACGGGGCCCCGCACAAGCGGCGGAGCAUGCGGAUUAAUUCGAUGCAACGCGUAGAACCUUACCUGGGUUUGACAUGGAUCGGGAGUGCUCAGAGAUGGGUGUGCCUCUUUUGGGGUCGGUUCACAGGUGGUGCAUGCCUGUCGUCAGCUCGUGUCGUGAGAUGUUGGGUUAAGUCCCGCAACGAGCGCAACCCUUGUUCACUGUUGCCAGCACGUUAUGGUGGGGACUCAGUGGAGACCGCCGGGGUCAACUCGGAGGAAGGUGGGGAUGACGUCAAGUCCUCAUGCCCCUUAUGUCCAGGGCUUCACGCAUGCUACAAUGGCUGGUACAGAGAGUGGCGAGCCUGUGAGGGUGAGCGAAUCUCGGAAAGCCGGUCUCAGUUCGGAUUGGGGUCUGCAACUCGACCUCAUGAAGUCGGAGUCGCUAGUAAUCGCAGAUCAGCAACGCUGCGGUGAAUACGUUCCCGGGGCUUGUACACACCGCCCGUCAAGUCAUGAAAGUUGGUAACACCCGAAGCCGGUGGCCUAACCGUUGUGGGGGAGCCGUCGAAGGUGGGACUGGUGAUUAGG